Molecule: long non-coding RNA, 948 nt
Filed under: Solanum tuberosum (potato)
Lineage: Eukaryota; Viridiplantae; Streptophyta; Magnoliopsida; Solanales; Solanaceae
Description: long non-coding RNA (STUB_LNC006969)
Source: RNAcentral
UUGCACCAAUUAAAACAGAAAAACGUAGUUGAAUACUCACGGGUUUUAACUUGUCAAUGUUCAUGUCCCGAGCAGAUGGAGACAAUGUUUGAGUAUCUGAGAUUGGACCAUGGGCAUUUAACGGAUCCAGCAGCUUAAAGUGGUAAUGUGGUACUGAGAAUGCUGGCAAGGAAUCAAAUGUCAGAGAAACUAGCAAAAGACAUGGAUGCAUCUGAAAGGCACAUAAUUGAGAAAGCAUAUGAACUUGCAAAGAACCACAUAAGGAACAACAGGGAAGCAAUCGACGAAUUAAUAGACGUGGUGCUAGAAAAAGAGACUUUUUGAUGCUCAAUCCUCCCUACUCCUCUAGAAAAGCAUAUGAAUUAACACAUCUUCUUGUUGCACCAAUUGAUCCUAUUCUUACUACUCCUCUGACCCUUCUCCCUAUAACAAUUGAUUUGUUUUCUUUUAAUGCUCUCUUCGAUGAAAAGUGCUCUUCCCUUGCUUCAAGAUUUGUUCUUUUAUAUAUAUGCAUAUAUCUUGGUUACAAUCGAUAUGAUGAAUUGUAGAUGUUCUGUAAACCAUGACAUUGUUGUAGAAAACCAUUGUUAAUUAUGAAUCCAAUUGAACUAAUACCAAAAGAAUUUAAGUACCGAGAAUGAAAGAUGGGAUCUUUCUUUCUUUUUGUAAUGUCCUGGCACUCAUUUCAGUCAUGUUGUAUAUACCAAUGUGUCAAUUGUAAGAUCUUCAUUUUUGGAGUCUCUUUACUUCUAGCUGGUGGAAGUUCUAUGCUUUUCAAGAUCUCAAGAUUCUCUUCAUCUUAAGGUAAGAGUUAAUAGAUUUUGUCCAACUUGGGCAUAAAGAUUUUUUGUAUGGUAAAAGAUAUGUACCUUGCGAGAAGAAAGAAUUUGCUGUCACUAAUAGCAUUAGCAGCACGUAUGUUGCUUGUUCAUUGCCACUAUUGGCAUC